UGUGAAGAAAAAGAUUAACUUUCAUGAAAAUGCACCCUUGUUUACAAAGCGCGCAGAAUGCUGGCUCCGCAUGGGGCAGAGCAAGUUCCUGUCCACCUGACAUGCCUGAGUGCACUGUGAAGAAAAAGAUUAACUUUCAUGAAAAUGCACCCUUGUUUACAAAGCGCGCAGAAUGCUGGCUCCGCAUGGGGCAGAGCAAGUUCCUGUCCACCUGACAUGCCUGAGUGCACUGUGAAGAAAAAGAUUAACUUUCAUGAAAAUGCACCCUUGUUUACAAAGCGCGCAGAAUGCUGGCUCCGCAUGGGGCAGAGCAAGUUCCUGUCCACCUGACAUGCCUGAGUGCACUGUGAAGAAAAAGAUUAACUUUCAUGAAAAUGCACCCUUGUUUACAAAGCGCGCAGGAUGCUGGCUCCAGAUGGGGUAGAGCAAGAUCCUGUCCACCUACCAUGCCUGAGUGCACUGUGAAGAAAAAGAUUAACUUUCAUGAAAACGCAC
Long non-coding RNA from Schistocerca nitens (vagrant locust), 495 nucleotides. RefSeq lists it as uncharacterized. The transcript is spliced from 5 exons. The record is from RefSeq and is a predicted model, not a curated record. NCBI's taxonomy places the organism in Eukaryota, Metazoa, Arthropoda, Insecta, Orthoptera, Acrididae.